Molecule: ribosomal RNA, 486 nt
Filed under: uncultured bacterium
Lineage: Bacteria
Description: partial 16S ribosomal RNA
Rfam family: Bacterial small subunit ribosomal RNA
Source: RNAcentral
AUUGAACGCUGGCGGCAGGCUUAACACAUGCAAGUCGAGCGGAAACGAUGUAGCUUGCUACAGGCGUCGAGCGGCGGACGGGUGAGUAACGCGUAGGAAUCUGCCUAGUAGUGGGGGACAACAUGUGGAAACGCAUGCUAAUACCGCAUACGCCCUACGGGGGAAAGGAGGGGAUCUUCGGACCUUUCGCUAUUAGAUGAGCCUGCGUAAGAUUAGCUAGUUGGUAGGGUAAAGGUCUACCAAGGCGACGAUCUUUAACUGGUCUGAGAGGAUGGCCAGUCACACUGGGACUGAGACACGGCCCAGACUCCUACGGGAGGCAGCAGUGGGGAAUAUUGGACAAUGGGCGCAAGCCUGAUCCAGCCAUGCCGCGUGUGUGAAGAAGGCCUUAGGGUUGUAAAGCACUUUCAGGGGUGAGGAAGGGUGUUUGGUUAAUAUCCAAACAUUUUGACGUUAGCCCCAGAAGAAGCACCGGCUAACUCUGUG